RNAcentral lists this ribosomal RNA (373 nucleotides) under uncultured Glomeromycotina. RNAcentral's name for it is "LSU rRNA". Lineage: Eukaryota; Fungi; Glomeromycota. The record is from RNAcentral.
UUGAAAGGGAAACGAUUGAAGUCAGUCGUACCAGCGGGAAUCAACCUUUCGAGUGGGGUUUUGGAGUUUUGAAGAGUGUCAAAACCUUUGAGAUUUCAAAAUUUUCGCUCCUUUGGUGUACUUUCUCGUGGGUAGGUUAACAUCGAUUUCGAUCAUCAUAAAAGGAUUGGAGGAAUGUAGCUUCGAUCUUGUAUUGAAGUGUUAUAGCCUUUGGUAAAUGUGAUGAUUAGGAUCGAGGAUUGCAACGAAUACCCUUUUGGGCUAUCCGCCUGAUCUCUGAUACGUGGCCUUGGUAUCGAAAGCUUGCUUAUGGUAUCAAGGUAUUACGGUCAAAAGGUUAGAACGGAUUACAUUCGUUAAGGAUGUUGACGUA